CAGUAGCCGCGGUAAUACGAAGGGUGCAAGCGUUACUCGGAAUUACUGGGCGUAAAGCGUGCGUAGGUGGUGGUUUAAGUCCGUUGUGAAAGCCCUGGGCUCAACCUGGGAAUUGCAGUGGAUACUGGGUCACUAGAGUGUGGUAGAGGAUAGUGGAAUUUCCGGUGUAGCAGUGAAAUGCGUAGAGAUCGGAAGGAACAUCUGUGGCGAAGGCGACUAUCUGGGCCAACACUGACACUGAGGCACGAAAGCGUGGGGAGCAGACAGGAUUAGAUACCCCCGUAGUCCCUGUCUCUUAUAC
RNAcentral lists this ribosomal RNA (301 nucleotides) under uncultured bacterium. Its description in RNAcentral is "partial 16S ribosomal RNA". It matches the Rfam family "Bacterial small subunit ribosomal RNA", at positions 509 to 807 of the family's 1533-position model. The record is from RNAcentral.